UUCUUACUGUCCAAAUUGGGUGGUGCUUUUUAAAAAAAACACAAACCAUUAUACGUUUUUUUAAAUCAUAAAAAAGCAGAAUGUAAGUGAAAUUUUUUAUAGGGAAGGAAAGACCCAACAUUGCUUUUAUUUUGAAAAGGGGAAAAUAUGUGGCCAAAUUAAACUUUAGAACUAGAAUUGUAUAAUUAUGAUAAUUUUUUGCAAAUCAGAGGAGAUAAUGAAUUUAAAACAUUAUUUCUGUUUACAUCAUUGAAGGAAGAGUGUUAUGAUGUUGGUAGUACAUAUGAAUGUGAAUCUCUUACAGCUUCUAAAAGUUGCAGUCUGUACUUUGAUCUUAGAUGCAAAGAAUAUAGGACAUUUAUUGGUAUAUAUGUUAAGGCAAAAUUAGUGAUAAAUAGAACUAUAACAAGUAGAGAAAAUAAAACAGUAUAAUUUCCAACAUUGUUGGGUGGGUUUAAUAGGAUAGUUAUCAUUACACUAAGUCAUACCUUUGAUUUUAGUAUCUUCAAAGAGUUGCUAAAGUGUUUUUCCUUGAAUCUUAAAGUUGUAAUGUUUAUUUGACACACUACCUAUUGUUAGGUUUACUUCUAUGUUUUAUCUCUAUAUCUAGAGUUGAAGGAGAAACAUAAUCCUUUACUUAAACAUUAGUAUCUGAAAAUUUGCUGUAUUUUGGUUUAAUUUUUAAUACUUUAUUUUCUUACUUUAAGCAAUACGAAAUCUUAACAUAGGAAGGAACAUUACUAGCAUAGCACAAUCUAUAUUAACAUUACAGUUUCCAAAAGAUACAAUUUUAUUCUUAUCUUGUAUAUGCAAAUGUUUUGUGGGGUUUUUAGAAAGAUAAAUUAGCACUAAAAAUUUUAGCUGUACAUUUUAUUUGAUUCCUUUUUGUAUCAUUUUGAUAUUGAUAUAGUAAGUUAUAAGACAUCAUUAAUUUAUAGUGUUGGUGUUUUCAUGAAUCAUAUACACAAUGUUGCUUUGAAAUUUGCUUUUUGAUGCUUUCUGGGCUUUGGAAAAAUAGCUCAUUUAAAAUUUGUGUCAUUGUAAUGAAAUCUAUCUAACAACAUUGUCUUGCAAAUGCUUCCCCAAAGGAUUUCAGGAAUAGUUUAAACAUAGUGAACACAUUUGGUGAUAUAGUUCAAUACUUAUGUAUUGAAGAUGUUUCAUACAGCAAGAGGAAAAAUUAUCUGUGUCUUGAAAAUGCUAAGGAGUAUGUGAUAUUACUAAAAACCUCACCGACAACCAUCAAUUAAAAACUUAUGUAUUUUAUAGUUGUAUUAUUUGGGGUUUUUUUUGCUCUGGCUUCAGACAAUUAAUUUUUUAAAAAUAUUAUUAAAUGACACAAAUUACAUUUAUUGACUACAUAUUAUGCCACUUGUUAACUAAAUUUCAGUGCCUAAUAAACAUUUUUUACCAUAGAACUUUUAACUACAGAGUCUUAGUUGUGUCCAGUUUAGUGGAGCUAUAUUUUAAAACACAACUUUUAUGAGUAAGUGCUGCUUUUCAAAAUAAAACUGGGGGGACGAAGGUGGGAGAUUUGUGCUUGAUUGCCAUCUCAUUUCCAUCUUUGGAUACAGCUUUAGCAUAAAGUUAAACAACAUCUGCAGAGAUCUGACUGACAAACAUCUCUCUGGGACUCAUCAUUGCAGCCUGCAGCAGGUGCAUUCAGCUUUGCAGUCUUUUCCAAAAAGAGGUUAGUUUGUUUUAACAUUUAUCAGUAGACCAGUGGGAGCAAGUGACUAGAGAGAAGAGGUUAGUUGUCACUUGUUCAGUACUGGAAUACUACAGGUAAUUGGACUGGACUGGUGGGAGCUGCAACAGUGUAUAAUCUCACGUUGCACUGCAGCUGCUAUGGAGCUUAAUUAUCCUGACCCUUAGAGACUGAAGUGUCAUGGUAUAAGACGCAACACGCAAGGAAUGAAGUAGUGGUUUUCAAUACUUUCUGAUACUUGGGUUGAUGAAGUUUCCAUUUUCCUCAUCUUAUUCUUUAAAGGUAUGGCAUCAGCUUUCCCAUAUCUUUAAUAUGGAAAUAUUUUCAACUGAAUUGAUUUUUCAUGAGUCUGAUAGAAUGUAUAUAAAACAAGGAUAGGGUCUUUAGGUAUAGAAAUAAAAAGAAAAUAACCUUAAGUGAGAAGCAUUUACAUUUCACAAUUCCACCAGUACAUAUUUAAAACAUGAGUGAGUGGAAAUAAGUGGAAGUACUUGGUAGUUUUUUAAAAAAUAUUAUCUCAGAUUACCAUUUAUUUUUUAUAGGAAGUUAAAAAAAUGUAAUAUUUAAGUUGUAUCUUUUUAGAAUAUUGAUGGCUUUGGCAAGUAAACUUUGCAGAGUAGUUUGAAGUGUUCCAACAAACAGGAUAGGUGUAGCAUAUGAAAAAUAUUUUUUAAGAUUUUGAACUUAAUGAGUCCUAUUGAAAUAUUUCCCACAUUUAAUUACAAGUAAAUUAAAAUUUAGUCAAAAUCUCAAAAAAUUGGUCUGUCAUUUAUUUCCGUUGUUUUUAACUUUUCAAUCUGUUUGAAGUAUUGACUUUGAGUAUGCAUCUAUGACAUAUGUAAGUUUCUUGUGUGUUCUAAUAGUAUUCCCAGUGAAUAUAGAUAUCACAGUCCUGUUCAUUAAUCAGCCCUUAAAUAGGCAAUAUAUUCAAAGGUAAAAAUACAUUUAAACAAAAUCUGGCAAAAUCUGUAUUAUCUCAAAAUAAUUUGGAAUGUAAAAACCAUUUGAAGUCUUUGUAAAACAGUUUUAUAGCUUUGACUUUUCUACUAACUUUACUAAUCUGAAUUUUUUGGUAUCCACUGAAUAUAAUUUGUUAUUUACCAAACAGUAAUUAAGUUUUGGAGUUUUCACAGACUUUUUUUCUAACAUUUUUGGAAACUGUGUAUUUUUCCUGAAGGAGUAUUUACCAGUAUUGGUAAUAACUGAUUGAUACUGAAGAUACUACUUGAGAAGAAAAUAAGUUUUACUUUAAUUAUGAAUAGAUGGUAAUUAUAGUAGUUAAAAGAAAUAAGAUUAAAGCUAUGCUAUCUAGAGGUCAAGAGAUUCAUUUCAGUACUUUAAAACAUAAAUUAUUUUAUUCUCUAGUCAAAGUUUUUCAUUUUUGACAUGAUUAACUAUUUUUAAUCAAUUCUUAUCAAUAUAGAAAUACUUUAAAAUUUCACAUAUAUACUUUUGCUAUAAUUUUUAACUUUUUGUUUAAUAAGACAUUGAAUAAGAAUAAACAUUUUAAGACUACAAGUAAAAAAGAGAAUUAUUUACACUGAUAAACUUUUUGAGAUGUUUUCAGUAUUUUCCAAGUUUCACACCACUGUAUGGAUAUCCUUUUCUAUGACAAAUCUUGAUCAUGAAAACACCUACUAUCUGCACUCCAUCACUGAUAUUUUGCUGCUUCCUGCAGGGCCUGUCAUAGCAUUGUUGGCAGGAACAGAUGAAAAAUGAAAUUAAUGUCUUGAGGUUUUUAACAGCAAAAUGAUUAAGGUGCUGACAGCUGCAGAAGAAAUUGUACAUGAUGCUGUACAGAAGGUAUUUCUCCACUGUGCCAUCUGCAGAGUGAAACUGACUAGGAGUACUACAUAGACUCACCUAUGCAACUGUAUGCCACCGUGUUCCCUUUAUCUUCUUUGGCCCCUGAUGUACUAGCAAACUAAGAAUGAUGUUAUCUCAGCAAUGUCAAAAUGUCAAGUAAUGAGGAUCCUACCUAACCUUAAGGUGAUAUUGUAUCUUCUUUUUCUUUUUAUUAACAUCUUUGGUUUAGUUCUACAAAUAGCACUGAAUUGCUACCUUCGUAAAAUUAUGAAGUGAGUACCUCAAGUAAAUUUGAUUGUGAUGUUUUAGUUUUGGAGAAGAUGCUUUAUAAAAUAAUACUUGGUAAGGGUAUUAAGAGGUUUGACAUGCAAAAAUGUGGCAUACAUAAGUUUGUUGAUAAAAAAUUAAAAGUGUUUAUUAUAGGACUCUUUUUUAAUCUGCUGAUGAGCACUGUGAAUCAUUUAGAGGCGAGGACAUAAAUGCAGUUUUUUCCCUCAAAAGUAUUUGACCAGAGAUAUCUUUUUUUCAUAAAGCAUAUUAUAUGACAAAUAUUUUAUAGGACAUACUUUGAGAACUGUUAGGCAAAUAUUUGGGAGCUUUAAUACUUUAAAAAGUCUUGUAUCUUCAAUUUAAAAUGAUUAGAGACACAAUUAUAUUUUUUAUUGUAAACAAUACUUUCUGCAAUUUCUAAAUUUUCUUGAAGUGAUAACUUCAGAAUUUUAUGAAUAUGGUCACAUUUUUUCAACUGAUAAUAAUAUCUGUUUUUCUUCCACAUACUGUGUAUUGCCUGAGUUUUUCCUAUCUAUCUCCAUUUCUUUUCAUAUUCCCCUUGAACUUUUUACUCAGCUAUACUCUUCUUAAAAGAGACAUCAUAGUUCUGAAAAUCCUUUUGAUUUCUCUUUUUUUUUUUCUCCUGGGAGGUAGGAUACUGUUCUUUUAAAUAUGCUUUGAAGUGACCUUUACACGUGUAGUUCUCUUUUCCUGGGAUGGCCCCUUACCUCAAGAGCUUUUUGUGAUUUAGAACUCUGGUUAAGUGUGACCCACUCAGUAAGCCAAGCAGUAAGCUUUUCCUGCCAUCUAUUUAUUCAUUCAUUUAAUCUGUUAUAAAUCACAAAUAUUUAGUAAGUAUUUGACACAUAUGCACAUGUGUGCCAGGAUGCUGUGAGUAUAAAUAUAAGAAUAUGAAUAUGUAAAGAGCUUACAUUCUUAUGAGCUCUACAGGUUAGUGAACAGGCAAUAAUUGCUGUUAUGAGUAAGUACACAAAAAGAACACAUAAUCUAGACUGUGGAAACCAGGGAACACUUCUCUGGUAAACUGAUAAAUGGGCAAAGAUUGGAAGGAUAAAUAGGAGUUAGCGAGGUAAAAGGAUGAGUAUGCAAUCAGAACACCUGAGAAAAGUGUAAAAAACUUGGAUAGACAUAAAUGAAAAUCAGUGUAAUUACUAGGGAAAUAGCCAGGAAGACAUUGAUAAUAUGUGGUAGGAGAAGUGUUAUAGUAUUUAUAGUAUUAACAAAUAUCACGGCUUUAAGAACUCUAAGUCUGGACUUUGAGACCACGCUGGAAUUGACUAUGGCUAAUAAGAAGGUUUUCUGCUAUGUACAAAACACUUUAUAAGUCACACACAUUGAGUUUGUUUUUUCAUACCAUAGCCAUAUAACACUACAAUGGAAAGAAGGCCCUACCUAAAUUUCCAUAAGAGAGUAAAUUCCCAACAAGGUUGGAUAGAUCACUUGUGUACCUCUUUUCCAUAUCUGAGAAAUACGGAAGUGCUUAAAGUCCAUAUAUGUUUUGUCCAGACUGAGUGGUCAAAGUCCUUGUAAAAUUUUUUACAGGCUACACACUGCUGUUACCCAUAGAGUUUCUAUAUCACUUUCCUGUUUUCCUUGAGUUACACAUAAAGAACAGUAGCCUAUAGCAUAAAAGUUUCUUUUCAAUACGGAUAUCUACCCUGCAUUAUUAAGUAUUAGACACGAAGGAAAACCAAUUUGCUGCAUCAUACAAAUUCACAUUGUUUUAUGUAUACUUUUAGACUGUUGGUCUCUAAUUUUAUUUUUUCUUACCUUUAUUUGUGUUUAUUUAAAUAAAUUUUAUUGUGUAUAGUUAAGGUAUAUGACAUAAUGUUAUAAGACAUAGAUACAGGUUUUUCAGCAGUGAAAUGGUUACUACAAUAGAGCAAAUUAACGUAUCUAUCAUUUCUCAUAGUUACCUAUUUUGCCUCCUGUGGCAAGAACAGCUGUAAUUUUAUUUAGCAAAAAUCCUGGAAACAAUAUACUAUUAUUAGCCAUAGUUGUAUGUAGUACGUUAGAUAGUUCAUCCUACCUGUUUGCUACUUUGUAUCAUUUACCCUUCAUCUCCUCAUGUACUCCCACCCUGGCAACUGCUGUUUUAUUCUCUAUCUCUAUAUAUUUGACCUUUUCUUUUUUGGUAGAUUCUACAUAUCUAAGUAAGAAUAUGCAAUAUUUGCCUUCCUGUGGCUGGCUUAUUUCACUUAGCAUAAUAUUCUCCAAGUCCACCCAAGUUGUGGCAAAUGACAGGAUGCCCUCCUUUUAAAUCUGCUUUAAAGUGUUUAUAAGGAGACUGCAGGUAAAUUUUCAAAAUGUUAAUUCCUUUCAAAUCAAUCAAAGAAAAUUUUCUUUAAUAUUCUCAGAACCAACGCUUCAGGAUACUUUUGUAGGUCUUACUCAGAAAUAAGACUCUUUGUGAAAUUCUCAGACAGGUUCACUUUUAAUGUCAAAUUGGGUUGUGUUUGUUUGUUUCUGUGAUAGGUAAGUUAGAUAAUAUAUUAUACCUGCUACUACAUAUACAAAUGUCUGUAAUCAUGGCUUAACAGUAGGAAAAGACUAGAAAUAGUUUUACUGUAAACAUAAUUCUUUUAAUGUUUUAGUAAUAAGUGGCAUUUAUUUAUUGAAUAUUCUUGUCAGUUGAUUAUAGAUGUUUGUAAAAUAACAGGCUUAUUAGAGAUUUACUGAGUAGAUAAAUGACAUAAGGAUUAAUACUCAGUAAAUAGUUAAUUUGUUUUUAAAUUUGUUUAUAGAAAUAUCCCAUAUUAACACUUUAUUUUUUAAUGUAUUAGUAGAAUUUUUAUUCAACAUCAUGUAUUUCAGAAUUUCUACAUUAAAAAGUCACGAUCAAUAUAAUAACCGUUCUAGUAUAAGAUAGUAGAAUUUGGUCAGAUAAUUUAAUUGAUAAAGAUAUUUAUUUCUUUUCUUAACAGUAUAUAGUUACUAGCAUUCUAGUAAAUGCCAUUCCUAGUAUGUCUGGGUUUGAUAUGCAGCAAUAUUCUAAGAAAGCCUCAGUUUGUGGUCAGAUUUAAUUUUUUUAUUACGGUGACUAAGUUUAAUUAGGAAGUUUGAUUUGUACUCCUUACUUGACUAGUUCAGGAAAUCAGUUUAUUGGAAUCUUUUUCCAUUCACAAUUAUUCUCUGGAUUUGGAUAUGUAAUAGAAAAUGUAGUCAGAAAAUAAUUGAAUAAGGAGGCAUUGAGCUGAUCUUCAAUCCCUGGGUGUUUCUAACAGGAUAGAUAGAAUCUUUUGGAAUAGAAAUGUAUGGUAGGUAUAUUCAUUAGUACAUUUCAGUAAGGGAGCAUUAUGUGAUAAUUCUUAGUAAGUAGAAAGGUCUAAUCAUGAUCUUUGCUUUACCUCAGGCCAUUGAUAGUUCGUAUAUAUUUUCCCUCUUCUUUUGACAUUUACAUUGGAUUUUAAUGCAAUAAUUCUGGAAUUAAAAAUCUUGUUCUAAUAGGGCUCAUCCAAGGUCAUAGUUUUAUUUUAUUAAAUGAAUAGUUAUUUGUUAACAGCUUGCUAAGUAGUAGGCUGAGGAUACACAUGUGAACAAAACAGUCCAAGUUCCUGUUCAUUUGGACCUUUUGUUCCAUCAGAGAGAGGUAAACAAUGAAGUAAGCAAAUUACAACAAACAAAAAUUUCAGAAAAUUGUAAGGGUCAUAAAGGAGUAUAACGUGAUAGUGAUUUGGAAGAGGCUGUUUAUGGCUGUUAAGAAAGCCUUCUCUGAUAAGAUAUUAUUGAGCUAAGGCUUUUAUGAUGAGAAAGGGGCUGCUAUGGGAAAAGCCAGUGGAACAGUGUUCCCAGGAUAGGGAUCAGUGGGAAUAAAAGGCCUAAGAGAGAAUAAGUGUGGCAAGCCCCAGGAACUAAAAAAGACCUAACUCCCUGGAGUGUAGAAAAAGAGAGAAAGAGUAAUAUGAGAUGGGGACUGAGGAGAGCUCAGCACAGGUCAAAUCCUGAUGGAUUUUGAAAGCCAUAGUAAAGGGUUUAGACUUAACUCUUAAUAUGAGAUGAGAAGCCAUAAGUUUAUAAACAGGUAAAUUACAUAAUAUUUACAGGUUCAAAAUAUUAUUCUGAGAGAGGAGUGGAUUGUAGUAGAGCAAAUAGUGAACCAAGGUGGACAGUAAUUAGCAGACUAUUGAAGUGGACAUGUUUAGAGCAAAUAGUGUCUUGCACUAGGGAGGUCUUGGAGUGGGGAGGGGGGGGAGAGAGAGAGAGUGAAUUCAGAAUGUAUUUUAUGGUAUUUACAACCAAGGGGACUAAAUGAACAUUAUCCUGGGAAGAGAGUAGCAACACAGAAGCCAGAAGAGGAAACUAUUUCCAUAAGGAGGAAGUGGCUAAUGGAAGCCACUACAUGAAAAGGAAAGGUAAAAUGCCAUAAUACUGUAGCACUUGAUAUUUUUCCUUAUGGCUAUAGUUUACCAGUAUCUCUGUCAGUUUUCUUUAUUGACUGAAAACUGAUUUAAUGUCUGCCUCUACACCUAUACAUCUGUUCAGCCUUUGUUUCCAAACACUUUGAAGAAAAGAGGAAAAGCUGUGACAACUUUAACAAAGAAGUGGCAAAGUGGACCAAGGAAAAGAGCCAAAAUAUCAUGGCCCCCCAAAACCUGGGAUUUGAGAGAGAAGAGAAAAAUAACAACAACAGCUUCCCUACCUGCUCCAUAGGACAUAAAGAGCUAAGGACACAGUCUAAUUUUGCCUAGGAGAUGAAGCUAAAAGGAACAUUCAUAAAAGAAGUUUUGGAUAUGAGGCAUAUGCUCAAACUUGAGAUAAUCAAGAGCAUUAUGAAGAAAUUUAGAAGGACAGGGAAGGAUACAGAAUUGGGUGAGAUUCAGAGAUAUAUGGAUUACUAUGAGGAUAAGAGUCUGAUGAUGGCUAGAGAAACAGACUUCUGGUAACUUCGAUAUUUAGAAAUAUGAGGAAUAGCAGUCUCUUAGGGGAAGAUGGGCAGUUAGAGUUAUAGUCCAGCUUGUUGUUUUAAGGGUAUGAUACCACUGACCUUUCUUUUCUGCUUCUUGUAAUUAUGUGGUGAGUUUUGAUGGGGGACAAGCAGGAGUAGUUAAAUACUGAAGUCACUAACGGUUAGGGGAAGAGUUGGCUCAAAUGAACUAACUGGAGGAUACCCAAGUACUUAUUUACAGGAGGCAGAUUAAUGAGUAGAGGCAGGAAACCAAAAACUGCAUGGAGAGUAUACAGGAAACCAAAGACUCAGAGAUUCCCCUCUAAAGGAAAGGCCAGAGGGUGACAGAGAGCCAGUCAUCUGUCCUCACAUGGAUUAGAGGCUAGUAAGUCACCAAAAGUCCAAGGAUCUGUCUUCAAGUGGAUUAGAAGUCAGAAGGACAGUCCAGAGGAAGACUAGGUUUGAGACUGUGGAUAAUUGUGUAUUCCUGUAAUAGCGCAUGAAUAUACCUGACAGGGAUCACACUCUGUUACAUCCAGGUAAUAUCUACUCUGGUAUUCUGCCAGUUGUCAGGCCUCAUCUAUAGCAUUUUAAUAAUUCAGAAUAAAAGAGACAAGGAUAGGAGAGAGACUUUUAUGAAAGAAGAAGGAUUGGAAUUAACAGAAAUACAUUGUGGAAACAUAGAUCUCUAUAAUAUUCUGAGACUUGUAUUUUUAAAACUAAGUUUGUAAUGGGUAAGUCAGAUUUUGUUCAUAGUGUCACAGAAACGUACCUGAAAUGUAGCUACCUAUUUUGACCUGUACUCAAGCAGGUGUCUGACAGAUGUAUUAUCUAUUUCCACAUGUCACUAUUAGCCCCUAUAACUCUUAAGAUAUUCUGAUAUUCUUUAAUUUACAAUUCUAUAAUAAUUAAUGUUGAAAAAUGGGUAAUAACAUACUCCAUUGUGUGUUCACAUCAGGGAAUACAAAAAUAAUUUUUAGCAAAUGAGUUGCAGAAUUUCUGAGCUUCGCCUUCAUACCCAAAGUCACAUUAUUUUUCUAAAUAUAUUGUGUAUGCUGAAGCUAUUUUUUAUUUUUUAUUUUUUUUAAUUUUU
This is a long non-coding RNA of Cercocebus atys (sooty mangabey), 9783 nucleotides long. RefSeq lists it as uncharacterized. NCBI's taxonomy places the organism in Eukaryota, Metazoa, Chordata, Mammalia, Primates, Cercopithecidae. The transcript is spliced from 3 exons. The record is from RefSeq and is a predicted model, not a curated record.